RNAcentral lists this ribosomal RNA (443 nucleotides) under uncultured bacterium. Its description in RNAcentral is "partial 16S ribosomal RNA". It matches the Rfam family "Bacterial small subunit ribosomal RNA", at positions 338 to 795 of the family's 1533-position model. The record is from RNAcentral.
CCUACGGGAGGCAGCAGUGGGGAAUAUUGGGCAAUGGGCGCAAGCCUGACCCAGCAACGCCGCGUGAAGGAAGAAGGCUUUCGGGUUGUAAACUUCUUUUCUCAGGGACGAAGAAAGUGACGUUACCUGAGGAAUAAGCCACGGCUAACUACGUGCCAGCACCCGCGGGAAUACGUAGGUGGAAAGCGUUAUCCGGAUUAACUGGGUGUAAAGGGCGUGUAGGCGGGGAAGCAAGUCAGAUGUGAAACCCACGGGCUCAACCUGUGGCCUGCAUUUGAAACUGUUUUUCUUGAGUACUGGAGAGGCAGACGGAAUUCCUAGUGUAGCGGUGAAAUGCGUAGAUAUUAGGAGGAACACCAGUGGCGAAGGCGGUCUGCUGGACAGCAACUGACGCUGAGGCGCGAAAGCGUGGGGAGCAAACAGGAUUAGAUACCCCUGUAGUC